UAGGGGGCCAUCCCGGCUUACCAACCCGAUGCAAACUGCGAAUACCGGAGAAUGUUAUCACGGGAGACACACGGCGGGUGCUAACGUCCGUCGUGAAGAGGGAAACAACCCAGACCGCCAGCUAAGGUCCCAAAGUCAUGGUUAAGUGGGAAACGAUGUGGGAAGGCCCAGACAGCCAGGAUGUUGGCUUAGAAGCAGCCAUCAUUUAAAGAAAGCGUAAUAGCUCACUGGUCGAGUCGGCCUGCGCGGAAGAUGUAACGGGGCUAAACCAUGCACCGAAGCUGCGGCAGCGACGCUGAUGCGUUGUUGGGUAGGGGAGCGUUCUGUAAGCCUGUGAAGGUGGCCUGUGAGGGUUGCUGGAGGUAUCAGAAGUGCGAAUGCUGACAUAAGUAACGAUAAAGCGGGUGAAAAGCCCGCUCGCCGGAAGACCAAGGGUUCCUGUCCAACGUUAAUCGGGGCAGGGUGAGUCGACCCCUAAGGCGAGGCCGAAAGGCGUAGUCGAUGGGAAACGGGUUAAUAUUCCCGUACUUGGUGUUACUGCGAAGGGGGGACGGAGAAGGCUAUGUUGGCCGGGCGACGGUUGUCCCGGUUUAAGCGUGUAGGUGUGUGUUCCAGGUAAAUCCGGUUCACUUUAACACUGAGGCGUGACGACGAGGCACUACGGUGCUGAAGCAACAAAUGCCCUGCUUCCAGGAAAAGCCUCUAAGCAUCAGGUAACAUCAAAUCGUACCCCAAACCGACACAGGUGGUCAGGUAGAGAAUACCAAGGCGCUUGAGAGAACUCGGGUGAAGGAACUAGGCAAAAUGGUGCCGUAACUUCGGGAGAAGGCACGCUGACAUGUAGGUGAAGUGAUUUACUCAUGGAGCUGAAGUCAGUCGAAGAUACCAGCUGGCUGCAACUGUUUAUUAAAAACACAGCACUGUGCAAACACGAAAGUGGACGUAUACGGUGUGACGCCUGCCCGGUGCCGGAAGGUUAAUUGAUGGGGUCAGCGCAAGCGAAGCUCCUGAUCGAAGCCCCGGUAAACGGCGGCCGUAACUAUAACGGUCCUAAGGUAGCGAAAUUCCUUGUCGGGUAAGUUCCGACCUGCACGAAUGGCGUAAUGAUGGCCAGGCUGUCUCCACCCGAGACUCAGUGAAAUUGAACUCGCUGUGAAGAUGCAGUGUACCCGCGGCAAGACGGAAAGACCCCGUGAACCUUUACUAUAGCUUGACACUGAACAUUGAGCCUUGAUGUGUAGGAUAGGUGGGAGGCUUUGAAGUGUGGACGCCAGUCUGCAUGGAGCCGACCUUGAAAUACCACCCUUUAAUGUUUGAUGUUCUAACGUGGACCCGUGAUCCGGGUUGCGGACAGUGUCUGGUGGGUAGUUUGACUGGGGCGGUCUCCUCCUAAAGAGUAACGGAGGAGCACGAAGGUUGGCUAAUCCUGGUCGGACAUCAGGAGGUUAGUGCAAUGGCAUAAGCCAGCUUGACUGCGAGCGUGACGGCGCGAGCAGGUGCGAAAGCAGGUCAUAGUGAUCCGGUGGUUCUGAAUGGAAGGGCCAUCGCUCAACGGAUAAAAGGUACUCCGGGGAUAACAGGCUGAUACCGCCCAAGAGUUCAUAUCGACGGCGGUGUUUGGCACCUCGAUGUCGGCUCAUCACAUCCUGGGGCUGAAGUAGGUCCCAAGGGUAUGGCUGUUCGCCAUUUAAAGUGGUACGCGAGCUGGGUUUAGAACGUCGUGAGACAGUUCGGUCCCUAUCUGCCGUGGGCGCUGGAGAACUGAGGGGGGCUGCUCCUAGUACGAGAGGACCGGAGUGGACGCAUCACUGGUGUUCGGGUUGUCAUGCCAAUGGCACUGCCCGGUAGCUAAAUGCGGAAGAGAUAAGUGCUGAAAGCAUCUAAGCACGAAACUUGCCCCGAGAUGAGUUCUCCCUGAGACUUUAGGUCUCCUGAAGGAACGUUGAAGACGACGACGUUGAUAGGCCGGGUGUGUAAGCGCAGCGAUGCGUUGAGCUAACCGGUACUAAUGAACCGUGAGGCUUAACCUU
RNAcentral lists this ribosomal RNA (2030 nucleotides) under Salmonella enterica subsp. enterica serovar Saintpaul. Its description in RNAcentral is "bacterial LSU rRNA". It matches the Rfam family "Bacterial large subunit ribosomal RNA", at positions 920 to 2925 of the family's 2925-position model. Lineage: Bacteria; Pseudomonadati; Pseudomonadota; Gammaproteobacteria; Enterobacterales; Enterobacteriaceae. The record is from RNAcentral.